UUGAGGAAACUACUACAGGAUCUCUUAAGUCCUUUCAGCUCCUAAAAUUAGUGACUGGGGUAAAAUAGCACAAAUAAUUCCAUCCCAGCCACAAUAUUAGCCCUGGCAGCCUAUUGCUGCGGUUUUCAUCAGUCUCACCCAGGGUAGUGUCCCCUCACCCUGAAGUGGGGGGAAACCCUGGGACAGCUCCUAAAACCUUCACUUCCUGUUUUUCCUGAGGGCUGGCCCUGGAGAAAAUAUCCCUCUAAAAAAGAGCAAGCACAAAACUCUGGGCAAGUGCAAGGCCUCUGUGGGUCCUGAAGCAGAACUAUCCAGAUCCUCUCAGGGCUUCAAAGACGUCAGUACAACAGACGACUCCGAAAGGCAGAACUCAGCAGCACCAGCCUUCGGGACACACAGUCUCGGCCCCGGGGUGACGCGGCCCCGGGGUGACGCGGCCGGCUCCGGGCUCCUCGGUGUCCCCUGGAAGGAACAGGUGCGUCGGCCUCUUCCGCCUCACCCGCAGCUCGGUGAGGUGAUGGCGUGCAGCUACCUCGCGCCCCACUAGAUCUCGGCCACGAGAAAAGGCUCGGCCCCGAGGAGCUGAAGGGACCUGGAGUCUCCCAGUCCUCCUGCGCCCGGGCGCCCAGUCACCGCCCACGCGAGACCAGGCGCAGCUCCUCCAGGAAGCGCCGCUCCGGCUUCCGCGCCUGCGCAUGCGCCUGUGCCAGCCCAAGAAGCGUCGAGAGAAGGCCGCUAGGGGGCGGGGCGGAGCCUGCGGUCGUGCGCGUGCGCAGCAAGCUCGUGGCUGCCUGGCUGCCUGUUGGCGAGGCCCCUUUGCAGCCCGUGCUGUGGUUUGUGCCUGUCGGCCCGGGGCCGAGUGACUGCUGGGUAGGUGGUGACCCCCACCUCAGGAAGACCUGUUUGUGUGGGAGAAGCCUAGGUUGAGAGACUGGCCACGUUCAGUCGGGAGCCCCACUUCCCCACCUUCAGGACCUGGUUCAGAAGGCCAGGGCCAGGUACAGCCAGUGUCCCGGCAGUCUGAGGAAGAGGAACCGGAUUUGGCCACAUCGAGGAUUCCAGCUGCAUCCCGUGCCUUCCAGAAGUGCAUCUUCUCCCUGUCCUGUCCACCCGUGGCAUAGGGAGGUGGAGGACCAGCAGUAGUCCUGCGUCCUCACGGGGCCGCAGGAGCACCAACACAUCAUAUCCUUGCUUCGCAAACACUGCCGCCUGUUAACUGGCUGCCCGAGAUGGAAUAUCCCAAAAUGUCACAAGGAACCAGAGAAGGGACAUGGAUUGGGUUUCCCUAGUGCCCCGUGGGUUCGAGGUCUAAUCGGGGCUGCCACACAGGGCCAGGCUGAUGGACCGAGUUUCUCCUCCACGUUCCCAGCUCUUAGGAGUGGGAAGAUAAGAGACCCCCAACAUAUCCCACCCAGCAGAUCCUUGGGCUGCCAGCUGGAUCUUCCGUUUCUGGGUGCUGUCCUCUGCCCAGCACUUGAAGUAGCCCAGACUUCCUGGACCUCCACAUUUAAAGCCCGGGUUCCGCGCUUUGAUUGAUGCUUUGAUUGAUCUGCCCUUUCAUCGUCGCUACCACACAAGGAUUCCCCUUCCUGUGAGUGUAAACCCUCCUCUUCCCCGGGAUCCCUCUUCCUCCUACCAACCCUGUCCAGCCAUCUCCCUCCCCAAGCUUGAUCACCUUUUCUGGUGUUCUGGUUGGCUCUGAAGAAUCCUGAUUUGAUGAAAAUACCCUUUUCAACAGGGUAAUACACUACUGUUCAAACAAAUUUAACAGUUUCAAUUCAUUGGUUCUUUACAAAUGAGAAAAAGGGGAAAUAUUUGAAGACGGAGGCAGGAAAAUCACUUUGAUCCAGGCAGCCCAGACCAGCCUGGUAGCAUAGCAAGACCUCAUCUUGAAACAAACAGUUCUUUUCUGAACGAUCUCCACAGAGCACCUACAUUCUCCAGACUUUUGCCUUCCUGAGCCUGCAGAUAGCCCUCCAAAGUAUGUUUUGUAUUGUAGGAUAUGAAACUACCCCUGGAAUGGAAUAUUAGCUAAUACACAGCAGCAAGUGGAACCCACCUUUCAGAGUCAGAGGGUUAUGGGAACUUGACCUUUCAAUGUCAGCAAUUCUCUGCAUAGUUCUAAACAAAACUAGUUCAUCUGCAUAACCAUGUUGUGCAUUUCAGUGAACACCAUCGGAGAAAAGAAGAUGACGUCAUUGAAAAAGAGUUGAGGGAUAUGGGGAAUACAGGGAAGACACAAGUGUCAACAAAACCCCAAGAACUGAAACCUAAGCGAGAAGAGCAAUGAGAGCGGCGCACCAACUCUUAGACGGAGGGACGAUGUUUGGAGUGUCAAACAGAGACAUGAACACUCACUCCAGUGUGUUCCACCACGACAUGCCACCCUCACCAGAUACCCAAACCUAUGGACCACCCACUCUUGAACUUCCAGAACCAUGAGUCAACAUAAGCCUUUGUUCGCUUCUGAAGUAGUUUGCAUGAGAUAUCUCUUAUAGUCUCUGGCCUUUGAAUACUUGGUCCCCAGUUGGUGGCACUGUUUGAGAAGGCUUAAAAGGUACAGCCUUGAUGAAGAAUCUGUCAAGCUUGAAGCAGCUUGAAGGUUUAAAAGCCACAUGCCAGUCCCAGUUCUCUCUCUUCCUGUGCUCAUGGUUCAAGAUGUGAGCGCUCAGCGUCUGCUCCAGCCACCAUGCCUGCUGCUUGCUGCCAUGCUUUCUGCUAUGAUGAACUCUUACCCCCUGGAACCCUGAGUGUAAUAAACCCUUCCUUCUGUAA
Peromyscus maniculatus bairdii (prairie deer mouse) is the source of this 2775-nucleotide non-coding RNA. The record is from RefSeq and is a predicted model, not a curated record. NCBI's taxonomy places the organism in Eukaryota, Metazoa, Chordata, Mammalia, Rodentia, Cricetidae.